This 22-nucleotide non-coding RNA is filed under the name Arabidopsis thaliana (thale cress). Lineage: Eukaryota; Viridiplantae; Streptophyta; Magnoliopsida; Brassicales; Brassicaceae. The record is from RNAcentral.
UUCGGACCGCCUUGAAUUAUAA